RNAcentral lists this transfer RNA (73 nucleotides) under Marmota marmota marmota (Alpine marmot). It matches the Rfam family "tRNA". Rfam says of the family: Transfer RNA (tRNA) molecules are approximately 80 nucleotides in length. Their secondary structure includes four short double-helical elements and three loops (D, anti-codon, and T loops). RNAcentral also lists the same sequence under 1 other name. The record is from Rfam by way of RNAcentral. Lineage: Eukaryota; Metazoa; Chordata; Mammalia; Rodentia; Sciuridae.
GGGGAUAUAGCUCAGUUGGUAGAGUGCUUGCCUCACAUGCACAAGGUCCUGGGUUCAAUCCCCAGUACCACCA